CACACUUUUGAUAGUUGAUGUUCCAUACAUUCUUCUUUGUUUCCUGCUCCUAAAUUGUGUUAUAUACCAGUUUAAUAAGCGGUGUAGACACUUGCACCAAUAAAAGAAUGUGGUUAGCAGGCAACAAGAAGAAAUGUGUUCACAUCCAGGUAACCUGAAAUUGUACAAGUGUAGAAAUUUCUUCAGCACAAGGCAUAUAUAGAUAGAUAACCACGUCAGACAACAUCAGAAGUCCAUACAGGUAAUGCAUCUGGUUAAGAACAAUGUAAACUGCAUGUACACCCAAAAAAUUGUAUUUCAAACAGAAAUUCAAUAAGGAAGCAAACAAAGUUACCCAUAGUCCGUGUAAUAUUCCCCAUGCGAUGCCCAAAGGGUCCCUGUUCACUUAUCUCAGGGAUAUCACAGACAAAGCUGAAACCAGCUCAAGUAGAGAAUAAAGUGGAAGUGUUGCUUAUGAUGCUAGUAAAAAAUGUCUCCUGAGUAAGUCAGGGGAGUUGAAAUGGGGAAUCCUUGAUAGGAUUACGCAAUCUGGGCAGGCAAUGGGGACUUGAGAAAGAAAAUAUAGCAGAA
Molecule: non-coding RNA, 570 nt
Organism: Pelobates cultripes (western spadefoot toad)
Lineage: Eukaryota; Metazoa; Chordata; Amphibia; Anura; Pelobatidae
Source: the annotation of a GenBank genome assembly